AUACGUAGGUGGCGAGCGUUGUCCGGAAUUAUUGGGCGUAAAGGGCGCGUAGGCGGAUUUAUAAGUCUGACUUAAAAGUGCAGGGCUCAACCCUGUGAGGGGUCAGAAACUAUGGAUCUUGAGUGCAGGAGAGGAAAGUGGAAUUCCCAGUGUAGCGGUGAAAUGCGUAGAUAUUGGGAGGAACACCAGUGGCGAAGGCGACUUUCUGGACUGUGUCUGACGCUGAGGCGCGAAAGCCAGGGGAGUGAACGGGAUUAGAUACCCCGGUAAUCCUGGCCGUAAACGAUGGGUACUAGGUGUAGGAGGUAUCGACCCCUUCUGUGCCGGAGUUAACGCAAUAAGUACCCCGCCUGGGGAGUACGGCCGCAAGGUUGA
Molecule: ribosomal RNA, 375 nt
Filed under: uncultured bacterium
Lineage: Bacteria
Description: bacterial SSU rRNA
Rfam family: Bacterial small subunit ribosomal RNA
Source: RNAcentral